This 631-nucleotide unclassified non-coding RNA is filed under the name Allium tricoccum (wild leek). RNAcentral's name for it is "sequence contains ITS1, 5.8S rRNA gene, ITS2". The stretch from base 232 to 387 matches the Rfam family "5.8S ribosomal RNA". Lineage: Eukaryota; Viridiplantae; Streptophyta; Magnoliopsida; Asparagales; Amaryllidaceae. The record is from RNAcentral.
AAGAUUGAGAAGAUAUAGCCAUGCCCAUUUAGAACAAGGCAGUUGUGCUGCGUGCACUUUGACCUUUCGGAUGGGUUCCCUCUGCUGCAUUCACCCUACUUUCUUUGAAGCAAAGAAGGAGAGGGGGAAAUACGAGAACGGCACGAUUUGUGCCAAGGACAGCUGCUGUUGGAGUGCAUCGCCUUUUUUUGGUUGUACAGUGUGCUACACUACAAGCGUGAGCGUAAGAAUGACUCUCGGCAAUGGAUAUCUCGGCUCUCGUGUCGAUGAAGAACGUAGCGAAAUGCGACACUUGGUGUGAAUUGCAGAAUCCCGUGAACCAUCGAGUCUCUGAAUGCAAGUUGCGCUUGAGACCUUUAGGUCGAGAGCACGUCUGCUUGGGCGUCAUGCCUUGCGUCAUUCUAAACAUCAACCUACCUUAAAUAAAAGUGUGGGUAACGGUGGAUGUGGAGAUUGGCCCUCCGUGCUCUUGAUGUGCGGUUGGUUUAAGAGACGGUCGUCGUUAGGAUUGCAUGCGGCGAAUGUUGAUCGAGUUCAUGCACGAAGUCUCCAGCUGCGUACAUGAGUCCUAACCAUGAUGUAUAAUAAUUGAAACCAUUAACAAUGUUUGCACUAUUCGCAAGCAUGGACC